This is a long non-coding RNA of Phyllostomus discolor (pale spear-nosed bat), 1044 nucleotides long. RefSeq lists it as uncharacterized. The record is from RefSeq and is a predicted model, not a curated record. The transcript is spliced from 2 exons. Lineage: Eukaryota; Metazoa; Chordata; Mammalia; Chiroptera; Phyllostomidae.
UACUGAGAAGCACCAUAGGAUUUCAGAGAUGUCACCAGUAUGAUCUUAAGGAAGGACAGAAAGCUGACUGAAGUGUCCAAGGACAUCUUUUGACCACCUUUGUGCAGGAUCCUCUGGGAGGUCACCUAGAUUCCAUUUUAGGUGGCUCAAUAAAUCAGCAGGCCACGCCUCAUGCAGUUUCUAGAGGACUUGUUGGGUCUCCAGUGGAUCCCAAUCUGAAGACUCCUUCAGGACUCCUGUUUCUCCCUUCCUCUCAUUCUCAAGGAACAUGUUUCCCUGACUUUAGGGGCAUUAGUGCAAGAUGGCUAAGGGAGGGUCAAUGGGAAGGAGAAUAAAACAGAAGAAUAUAGUGAUGAGAGCCUUGAGGUAUCAGCUUGAAAACUGUGGAACUCAUCAAGAGAUGUUAAAGUGCAAUUCUCUGAAGGUACCCAAACAGUGAAACUGUGGCAGGCGGGAUGGAUGUGAAGCUUUAGAGCACUCCUUGCCCAGCUGCUGCAGGCUGGUUGUGCUCCUUUACCAAAGGCUGCAGCUCUCAGUGGAUGGCUCUCUGGAGUUUCUGUAACCAGCUACCUCCUGGGGCUCCUUCUCUCCAGCCUGGGUACCAGCAUCACUGUUACUCAGCCCCAGGGUAUUGCACCAGCACUUGUUGCUCUGUCCCAACCCUGCCCACACCUUCUACAUAGUCCCUGUACUAAACUUGCCUCAAUUAUUCAACGUGCUUUCUGCUUUCUCCAGAGACACUAAUACACCUGACAGGAGGUACCAGUAAAGUAAAGGUAGGGAAGGUAAAGACAGGAAGGAGAGGAGAAUCUAUACAUUGAGCUUUUCUUAGCAUCACAGAAGCAUGGGUUUGAAGCUCAGUUAGUUAUGUGAUCAAGUUAUUUAACUUUGGAGUAAUUUCCCUGGACUCACAAUGGGCAUAACAUCUACCUGGCAGGGUUGGGAAGGGGAGACAAUGUAUGUGGGAGCGACAGCAGAGUGCCUGGCACAUGGCGGGUACUCAGUGCGGAAACUCUAUUAUUACGACAACAUCCUAGGCCCUGU